Molecule: ribosomal RNA, 115 nt
Filed under: Kocuria rhizophila
Lineage: Bacteria; Bacillati; Actinomycetota; Actinomycetes; Micrococcales; Micrococcaceae
Source: RNAcentral
UCCGGUGGUUAUAGCGUGGGGAACUCGCCCGUCCUAUCUGAACCCGGUAGCUAAGACCCACAGCGCUACUGGCACCGGCACUCGGUAGGUGUGGGAGAGUAAGUCACCGCCGGAA